Molecule: transfer RNA, 83 nt
Filed under: Saccharum spontaneum (wild sugarcane)
Lineage: Eukaryota; Viridiplantae; Streptophyta; Magnoliopsida; Poales; Poaceae
Description: tRNA-Leu
Rfam family: tRNA
About the family: Transfer RNA (tRNA) molecules are approximately 80 nucleotides in length. Their secondary structure includes four short double-helical elements and three loops (D, anti-codon, and T loops).
Source: RNAcentral
GGGGAUAUGGCGAAAUCGGUAGACGCUACGGACUAAAAUCCGUCGACUUUAUAAGUCGUGAGGGUUCAAGUCCCUCUAUCCCC